AUGCAAAAUACUUCCAAAGGUACAAAUUUGAAAACUCAGAAUCCUGAAACCCAAUCACUCAUCUUUCUCAUUCCUAAAAUUUUUACCUUAGCAGUGGUUACCUGAUAGUUUAGAACACUUUAGAUUUGGGAGGAGGGAAAAAAAAAAAAAGGCUCUUAUUUUGGGGUUUUGAUGUCCCAGUGGAUCUGCGUCUAUUUCUUUUCCGUGUAUAUUUCUUCUUCUCUAUAAAUACAUUUAAAUAGACUAAACACCUCCUUUGGCAGUUACUUCAUCAAAACAUGGAAAACAUGCUAUGGCUGAGCAUGGAUUUAUUUAGAGACUUGCAAACAGUGUUCCGGAAGCCCUGUGCGGUUGGGAUGGGCUGGGUUUUCUCAGCCUUCAGACGGGCGGGAGUUCCUGUCACUGGAUUCACAGUUCACAGCUGUACACGCUCCUGGUUAUCAAGGGGGUGACCUAGGUGCUGGCUGCAGAGAAUAAGACACUGAACCUGCUGGACACACACACACACACACACACACCCCUGAUGCCGUCACACACACACACACACACACACACACCCUGAGGACGUCACACACACACACACACACACACACACACACCCUGAGGACAGUCCUUGAGAUGCCCCAUCCCAUUUGUUCUUACUCAUGCCAACCCUAGGCUUGGGCUAACUAGUUAUUUUCCUACACUCUAGCAAGUAGCACUGAGAACCAUAGAGCCUUUCUGAAAUAAUUUGAACAGGAUUGUUUCUCGUGGUCUUCUCGGCAGUGGAUGAUGGCCUUUAGUGCCUCGGCUCUGCAUUUCCAACCCUCCAUCUUCUCGAACCUGAUGAGAUUCUGUAUGUCUGGUCGGAAGCAGGUGGAGUGGCGUCUGGUCCCUGCAGAGUUGCUGAGAGGGGCAGGACAUGAGCUGGGGGUCCCUUAAAAGAUUAAGGGAGCUGCCCUUAACCAUUUGACCUCCAGGCCAUGUGACUGAGAGCCACCUUCUGUUGUCGGUCUCUCUUUUUUUUUUUUUCUUUUUAGGGCCGCACCCUCGGCAUGUGGAGGUUCCCAGGCUAGGGGUCCAAUCGGUGCUAUAACCACCAGCCUGCGCCAGAGCCACAGCAGCGCCAGAUCUGAGCCACGUCUGCGAACUACACCACAGCUCAUGGCAAUGCCGGAUCCUUAACCCACUGAUCGAAGCCAGGGAUUGAACCUGCAACCUCAUGGUUCCUAGUCAGAUUCGUUUCCCCUGCGCCUCAAUGGGAACUCCUUUUUUUUUUUCUUUUUUCUAAAUCGAGCUGUACCCACAGCAUAUCAAAAUUCCCAGGCUAUGGCUGAACUGGAGCUGCAGCUGUCAGCCUACACCACAGCCAUAGCAAUGCUGGAUCCAAACCGAGUCUUUGAACUACACUGCAACUCCUGGCAACACUGGAUCCUUAACCUGCUCAAAGAGGCCAGGGAUCGAACCUGCAUCCUCAUGGAUACUAGUCAGGUUCAUAACCUGCUGAACCACAGUGG
Molecule: long non-coding RNA, 1496 nt
Filed under: Sus scrofa (pig)
Lineage: Eukaryota; Metazoa; Chordata; Mammalia; Artiodactyla; Suidae
Description: lncRNA (ENSSSCG00015046816.1)
Source: RNAcentral